AGCAGCCGCGGUAAUUCCAGCUCCAAUAGCGUAUAUUAAAGUUGUUGCAGUUAAAAGCUCGUAGUUGAAUUUCGGGGUCAGUAGAUUGGUCAUGCCUCCGGUAUGUACUGGUCUUACUGGCUCCUCCUUCCUGAUGAACCGUAAUGCCAUUAAUUUGGUGUUGCGGGGAGACUGGACUGUUACUUUGAAAAAUUAGAGUGUUUAAAGCAGGCUAACGCUUGAAUACAUUAGCAUGGAAUAAUGAAAUAGGACGUUCGAUCUUAUUUUGUUGGUUUCUAAGAUUGACGUAAUGAUUAAUAGGGAUAGUUGGGGGCAUUAGUAUUCAAUUGUCAGAGGUGAAAUUCUUGGAUUUAUUGAAGACUAACUACUGCGAAAGCAUUUGCCAAGGAUGUUUUCAUUAAUCAAGAACGAAAGUUAGGGGAUCGAAGACGAUCAGAUACCGUCGUAGUCUUAACCAUAAACUAUGCCGACUAGGGAUCGGAUGAUGUUAAUUUUUAAUGA
Molecule: ribosomal RNA, 501 nt
Filed under: uncultured Glomus
Lineage: Eukaryota; Fungi; Glomeromycota; Glomeromycetes; Glomerales; Glomeraceae
Description: SSU rRNA
Rfam family: Eukaryotic small subunit ribosomal RNA
Source: RNAcentral